Molecule: transfer RNA, 72 nt
Filed under: Cordylochernes scorpioides
Lineage: Eukaryota; Metazoa; Arthropoda; Arachnida; Pseudoscorpiones; Chernetidae
Description: tRNA-His
Source: RNAcentral
UGCCGUUACUAGGAUUCGAACCUGGGUUAAUGCGGCCACAACACAAUGUCCUAACCACUAGACGAUCACGGC